This 63-nucleotide transfer RNA is filed under the name Stygobromus tenuis potomacus. RNAcentral's name for it is "tRNA-Gly". The record is from RNAcentral. Lineage: Eukaryota; Metazoa; Arthropoda; Malacostraca; Amphipoda; Crangonyctidae.
UAGACUUUAAGUUAUAUAAACUAAAAACCUUCCAAGUUUUUCAAAAGAAUCUCUUAAGUCUAA